GAGUUUGAUCAUGGCUCAGAACGUACGCUGGCGGCACGCCUAACACAUGCAAGUCGAACGAAGUAGCAAUACUUAGUGGCAGACGGGUGAGUAACAUGUAGGUAUCUGCCCUUUGGCCUGGAAUAACACGAGGAAACUUGUGCUAAUACCGGAUAAGUCUUUACGGAGAAAGCUUUAUGCACCAUUGGAUGAGCCUGCACUUGAUUAGUUUGUUGGUGGGGUAAUGGCCUACCAAGACUGUGAUCAAUAGCUGAUUUGAGAGGAUGAUCAGCCACAUUGGGACUGAGACACGGCCCAAACUCCUACGGGAGGCAGCAGUGGGGAAUCUUGCACAAUGGAGGAAACUCUGAUGCAGCGAUGCCGCGUGAGUGAAGAAGGCCCUUGGGUUGUAAAGCUCUUUCGUCGGGGAAGAAAAUGACUGUACCCGAAUAAGAAGGUCCGGCUAACUUCGUGCCAGCAGCCGCGGUAAUACGAAGGGACCUAGCGUAGUUCGGAAUUACUGGGCUUAAAGAGUUCGUAGGUGGUUGAAAAAGUUGGUGGUGAAAUCCCAGAGCUUAACUCUGGAACUGCCAUCAAAACUUUUCAGCUAGAGUAUGAUAGAGGAAAGCAGAAUUUCUAGUGUAGAGGUGAAAUUCGUAGAUAUUAGAAAGAAUACCAAUUGCGAAGGCAGCUUUCUGGAUCAUUACUGACACUGAGGAACGAAAGCAUGGGUAGCGAAGAGGAUUAGAUACCCUCGUAGUCCAUGCCGUAAACGAUGUGUGUUAGACGUUGGAAAUUUAUUUUCAGUGUCGCAGCGAAAGCGAUAAACACACCGCCUGGGGAGUACGACCGCAAGGUUAAAACUCAAAUGAAUUGACGGGGACCCGCACAAGUAGUGGAGCAUGUGGUUUAAUUCGAAGAUACGCGCAGAACCUUACCAACACUUGACAUGUUCGUCGCGACUCUAAGAGAUUAGAGUUUUCGGUUCGGCCGGACGAAACACAGGUGCCGCAUGGCUGUCGUCAGCUCGUGUCGUGAGAUGUUGGGUUAAGUCCCGCAACGAGCGCAACCCUCACUUUUAGUUGCCAUCAUUAAGUUGGGCACUCUGAAAGAACUGCCAGUGAUAAGCUGGAGGAAGGUGGGGAUGACGUCAAGUCCUCAUGGCCCUUACGUGUUGGGCUACACACGUGCUACAAUGGUAUCUACAACAGGAAGCAAGACGGCGACGUUAAGCAAAUCCUUAAAAGAUACCUCAGUUCGGAUUGCACUCUGCAACUCGAGUGCAUGAAGCUGGAAUUACUAGUAAUCGUGGAUCAGCGUGCCACGGUGAAUGCGU
This 1315-nucleotide ribosomal RNA is filed under the name unidentified marine bacterioplankton. RNAcentral's name for it is "bacterial SSU rRNA". It matches the Rfam family "Bacterial small subunit ribosomal RNA", at positions 9 to 1371 of the family's 1533-position model. The record is from RNAcentral.